Amphiprion ocellaris (clown anemonefish) is the source of this 4508-nucleotide long non-coding RNA. The record is from Ensembl. Lineage: Eukaryota; Metazoa; Chordata; Actinopteri; Pomacentridae.
ACUGAGUAUUUUUAGUAUUAAAUAAAAUUUGUAUUUUUUGUCUGCACUGGAAUCAUAUCUCUUGCCUCAUCAGUGGAACGAACCUGAGUUGCCUUCUCGUUAGUGGUGGUUAUAAUUCCCUGGGUGAAAGUCCCAGGGUGGCGUUGUCUGGCCAGUGUCUACAUUCAGUAAUUGUAGCACGUUAGUUUAUCCCCGACCCCUGCGCUCGCCACACUUGUUUUAUGCUUACCGCGUCCGCGAGGUCCGUGCGGCUCCGUGCGGAAAAAUUACGUCAUUUUCGCACCCCGCCCCCUCCGGCGGCCUUUCCGUGCGGAAAAUUUUCGCUCCACACACCUCAACAUUUUUCUAACCAACGCGGACGGAGCCGCACGGAAAAACAUGGCGGAGGGCCAGGACCUACUCGUAGCUGAAGUCUAGAAAUACGUGCACCUAUAUGAUUCAUCUCACAGAGAUCACCGUGGUAACCGGGUUAUGAACUAUUCAUGGUGUGAAAUAAAACUAACUGCUGAAAUGCUUUUAUUUGGUAAAAUGCCGUGUUGUAAGUGGUGUAAACCAUGGCAAACUUCUUCUUCUCUAGUUUAGUACCAGAGUAGACCAGGUGUCGCUGUGUCGAUGUCCACAGCUUGUUAGUGCUUCUUCCAGUGCUGCUCCUCCCUCGCUGUUCUCUCUACUGUAUGCCAUGGUACACAAUGUUUUUUUCCUGGGGAGGGACGAGGACUUAGUGCUAGACUUUAAUCCCCUUUCAUGACCAUGAUGAGUAGUUACCAUUAUUAUUGUUCUGAUUAUGAUGAUUUAUCGUUGUUCUUCUAUAUUACUGAAUGUUUUCCUUUCUUCUGUGUGUUUGAGCUACACUGCCCCCGGCAGUUUGGAAGCAGACUUCUUCUUCCCUAGUUUAUUACUAGAGUAGACCAGGUAGACGUGUGUUAGGGAUACACUGCCCCCUGCAGUUUGGGAGCAGACGCGCACGGCCCGCAAUAGCAUAGCUGCAAGUGUAGCUUCUGAUAGCCGUGCCUUAGCAGCUCCCGAGCAGCCGGGAAGUCAAGGUAGCUGGAUGACAGUUCGUAGGAAACGUAGUCCUAAACUCAACCCGCUGUCCCGGCACACCACAAACCCCUUCACGUUUCUAAUCGUUUUUCCCCACUCAACGACACACCCGCUGAGAAACAAACUCUGAUCAUUGGCAGCUCCAGGGUUGCCACCUUUCAGAAAUUAAAAUAAAGGACGGCCACCACGGCUUCUUGGGGCCACAGUUCAGUAAAGUUGGAAAAAUAUUCACAGAUUCAGACUUCCAGCAUUCCAGCAUUAGAUAUACUUUGUCAAAAGAUAAACAAUGCCUCUUUCCCGUCGUUGUAAGGCAGACAAUGUGCUACAUUGUCUUACUUAUCAAAAGUAGCUGUCUUUCAAGCUGCAGUUUACUGAACUACCACCCAAGGAGUGGUAAUAUUUAAUUUUGAAAAAAGCACUUAGCCUUACUUAAAGCUUUAAGUAUGGAGUCACAGGAGUGUCACAAUAAAAUAUAAAUAAAUAAGGAAAUAAAUGUGGAAAUAUAAAGAGAAAUAAAUAAAUAAAUGUGGAAAUAUAAAGAGAAAUAAAUAAAUAAAUGUGGAAAUAUAAAGAGAAAUAAAUAAUUGUGGAAAUAAAUGUGGAAAUAUAAAGAGAAAUAAAUGAAUAAAUAAAUAAACAUAAAGAGAAAUAAAUAAAUAAAUAUAAAGAGAAAUAAAUAAAUAAAAAGGGAAAUUUUCUCUUUGGUUUUCCCUUUUCUCUUUUUUUCCUUUUAUUUUUCCAGUUUGUCAUUGUCUUUUCCGUUUUGCAUUUGCCUUUUCCUUUUGGCACUCAGUCCAUCAAGUAAAAGCAAAGUCAAAAGCCUUGGCUUGACUUGGUGGACUGAGCUGUCAAUCAAAUGGCUCUGGGCGGGGCUUUCUGUCCAGGGUGAGUAAUCGUACCUGAUCACAGGAUUCCUGCUUGGCGAUAGCUCCUAGCCCGGCUAAACGGAAGUGAUGUUACCUUGGCGCUGAGAGGAAGUGCAGACAACGCAGUUUGCAAAUACACGAACGUGACACUUUCAGCGGAUCAGAGUAGCUGGAUUUCUCAAUGUUUGGACUCUGUAGCGGGAUAUGAAGAAGUCAGUAUCUCAGUUGGUCAGAGAAGAAGCUGACAGGCUGGAUGAGCAAGCACAUCCAAACACCCCGUCGCCGAGACAGUCGGAUUCAACGCUGUUAACAAGAGACCCCAUUGAUGCAACUUCUGGACUGCAUCAUUUGGCCAGUGGAAUCCGAUAGUGAUGAGGACACAAGUCUGGAGGAAAAGUGCCAUAUCUCUGGAUUUCUGAGAGAAUACAUUGAAAAUGCCUCCUCACGAUGUUUUCAGGAACUUCUGAAGUUCUGGCAGGGGUGGAAGGUUCUUCCAAAAGAGCUGCAUGUGGAAAUUGUGCAUGGACAAAUGCCUCAGUCAAGCACAUGCAUGGAGACUCUUCGGCUGCCUUCACGCUAUAAGUCUUAUGAUGUUUUCUGUGAGGCUCUGAACGCAGCAGUCAGUUCUGUUCAAACAGGGUUUGGACUUGUUUAAAGUCACAACUUCAAGUGUUAUGCAGCCAAUUAAUGUUACCAAAAUGCAUAAAAUGUUAAAGCAGAUAUGUUUAGUUGUUUUGACAAUUGUUCUGAUGUGAUGUAAGCUUGUGAGGCAAAUGCAUGCUUCAGGAGAAGGUUCACAACAGUUCUUGUUUUUUCUGCUGCCAGGCUCAAAUUGUUGUGUGUGACAUUUAACAUGUAACAGAAAUGUGGCGGCCAGUGAGUUGUUGCAGGAAGACAGUUUAAAGGUGAGAGUUGAGAGAGUGAAUUAAUGGAGUAGCUUAUUUUUAUGUAAAAGAUUACAAACCUGAACUAUGGUUCAGGUUUGUGCAUUUCUGAACUGUGACAACAAAAUGUUUCCACACUUGGAGAAGACUGUGUUUGGGGAACAGUUGUAAUAUAAAUGUGUGGAAGUUAAAGAAAAGAAUUAUCAGUUCUGUUAAAAAAUGUUUUUUUUAUUGGCACAUUGUUUUAAUGCUUUCAAAUUAUUCAGCAUGCAAUAAAAGCAGUUUUGUAUCCCUUUGUUAUGUCUUGCUUUUUUACAUUUUUGUUUUCACAGGCAUUUAUUUGAAAUUCACAACUUGUCAUAAAAUUAUGCACCAAAAAUUUGCAGCAUUCUUUCAAGUCUUGUUCGACCAUUUCAAACGGUUUCAUUCUGAUCAUGUUAAGGUGAGUUGUGAUAGGCCUAGGUUUGUUGAAAAAUGUUCUUAAGAAUAUUGCUCUCAGCUCUCGUAGGAGGCGGUCGCACUUUUCCUUGCUCCGCUAUCUCUGUUCCUCCCUACCCUCAUGUCUCCCUGCUUGCUGCAUUUCUUCGUCUUCGUCUCGUUUGUCUGACUUGGAGCGAUUGCUUGGCACUGGACCUUUGAAACACCGAUCAUGGAAUUGAUUAACUGGUCUCUCAACGCAAUUGACAAGAUUGUCGCCACAAAGAGCACAGGCCUAGGGGAGCCUACCUGCCCGGAUGGGAGUUUCGCCUCUGGUUACGUGAUCGACGCCUGGGGGAAGUGGAAGGGGAUCAUGUGCCUGGCACCCCUAUCCGUGGAGGACGUGGAAGAUGUUUAUAUAUUUGGAUUUAUGAUGACAGGCCUGCUGAUAAUCGGCUUGUUCACUGGCCUGAGCUUCUGGAAAAUCAGGAAGACCGCAGACAGAAAUGACGUCCAAACUCUGCUGGUCUAUGCAAACGAACGGAUCAUGGCUGCCGAUUCUCGGUAUGACGAACUCAAUCGUAAGAUGAACAAUUUGCUUGGUGUGACUGUUGAUUUGAGUCGCAGAUUGGAAGCCAUUAGGGUGAGAAUCGCUACAGCUGAGGUCUAAAAUUGUUGAUGUAUGCCCGGAAGGUGAAAUUGUUCCUCUCUCCUGACCAAACAAGAAGGAAACUGAUUACAUUCUGGCGCCCCUGGAACAAUAACAAACUCCUCUGGAAGUUUCAUGGCCAAGAGAUAGCUCUCCUAAACCCCCCCCACUUUCCCAAGGACACCUGUUGACUUUUGGACCGGGCCAACCGAGGACGUCUCCAUAGCAACCUUGCUGUGUUAUCGCGCUCCCACCCUCGCGAAUCUGAGACACCGGAGGUCUGAGACGGAAGAAGAUGGGCUACACACAUACACAAACAUUCGGACUCAUGAACUGAGGACUGAGCUAAACAUUCGCACAGACAUUCCCAUAUCCCCCUCCCCCCCGCUUCCACAAGCUUCCCUCGCUAUGCACAGGAGCCAGGAAUCCGUGCACUUGCACAGGAACCGGCUAACUGUGCGGUGCUCCCCCCUCCACCACCCCACAUCCUUAUCCCAACUAUCCUUUUCUAACGUCAUGCUUUGCCUGUUUGUGGGUUUGUUUUUUUAGGUUCCUUCUCAAAUUGAAUUUCCCAACAUUGGAGGUUUCAUUUGGUACAACGAGCCUUUUUUUUCCUUUACCCUUUGCAAUCCCUACCCAGAUCCCAAC